Molecule: long non-coding RNA, 702 nt
Filed under: Salmo salar (Atlantic salmon)
Lineage: Eukaryota; Metazoa; Chordata; Actinopteri; Salmoniformes; Salmonidae
Description: lncRNA (ENSSSAG00000105796.1)
Source: RNAcentral
CAGGUAUACUGGAGUGAUGGAGGUAGAUAUGUAUAGGGGGAAGGGGACAGGUAUACUGGAGUGAUGGAGGUAGAUAUGUAUAGGGGACAGGGAUACUGGAGUGAUGGAGGUAGAUAUGUAUAGGGGGAAGGGGACAGGGAUACUGGAGUGAUGGAGGUAGAUAUGUAUAGGGGACAGGGAUACUGGAGUGAUAGAGGUAGAUAUGUAUAGGGGGAAGGGGACAGGGAUACUGGAGUGAUGGAGGUAGAUAUGUAUAGGGGGAAGGGGACAGGGAUACUGGAGUGAUGGAGGUAGAUAUGUAUAGGGGUAAGGUGACAAAAUACAGGGUCAGUACCAUAUUAACAAUGUACAGGGAUACUGGAGGGAUGGAGGUAGAUAUGUAUAGGGGUAAGGGGACAGGGAUACUGGAGUGAUGGAGGUAGAUAUGUAUAGGGGGAAGGGGACAGGGAUACUGGAGUGAUGGAGGUAGAUAUGUAUAGGGGGAAGGUGACUAUAUACAGGGUCAGUACCAUAUUAACAAUGUACAGGGAUACUGGAGGGAUGGAGGUAGAUAUGUAUAGGGGGAAGGGGACAGGGAUACUGGAGUGAUGGAGGUAGAUAUGUAUAGGGGGAAGGUGACUAUAUACAGGGUCAGUACCAUAUUAACAAUGUACAGGGAUACUGGAGUGAUGGAGGUAGAUAUGUAUAGGGGUAAGGUGACUA